CGCAUGUUCGCUUUCUGGCAUUGUGGGACACAUCCUCCCUCUUGGUGUCUUGGCUUUGUGAUGGCGGGCGAGGGAGGAGGCCUGCCUGAAGAACACAAACUGAAGGUUGCAGAUAGUUCUGUCCACGUUGUCAUGCAGGCAGCCCACCACACCAGCGUGGGGUACACAUCUCCAGUGGGUGGAGGCACGUGAGGACUCCCAGUUACCCUACCCAGGAGGCGGUGGGCCCUUAGUGUCCUCAAUCUGGGAAGGAAGGACAGGCAGCGUGGGAGCCUCCCCUUCCCUCCCACCCACCCUGGGCCUGGAGGUCUGGGCAGCCUGACUGGGCAAAGGUGGCUGCAUUCACAAGCCGACCCGCUCUGAGAGCCCAGGAACUCAGCUGCGCCUGGUGAGCGCUUGGGCGUUGGCCAGCUUGGCUGGAGAGCCACCACCAUGACCCAGCCUCCCACCUCACCCACCCUCUGAGCCUUCCCACACCCACUGUGGAGACUCCCUGUGUGGGGCUCCCUUGCAAGGCUUGGGGUGCAGCAUUCCCUCAGCCAGUGCCGUCCCCUUUGUUCCACUCGAGCCUCUGGCGGGGCCGUGUAUUGACAAACCUAGUGACCAGAAGUGGGGUCUCACUGCUACAUUUUCAGCUUGCGGCUGAGAAUGUAGUGGCUGCACUGCACACUUUCAGCCCUGCUGCUCAGCCCCACCUGCACCCAGCAGCUGUGCUGGGGACAAGGAAGGGGCCUCGGGAGUCAUUAGGGCUGUAGGUCUAGGCCUCACCCGGCUUUCCUGCCCUAGCCGUGGCCACUGCCCUCUGCCAGCCAGGCUGGGGCUUGCUCACAUCCUGAGUCACAUGCUUGCAUGAGUAUCGCAAGGGAGGUACCUGCAUCAUUGACUGAGUCUCGAUUUGUCUUCCAAGAACCAAACCAGCUCAGACCAGUUGGUCUUCUCAGGAUGAUGAUGGUCCAGGGGCCUCUUUAAAUAGCAUCUUUUAGGGGCCUCCAGGCCUGUGCCUGUGGAGCCUGUUCCCAGCAUAGCAGGGAGGAGGGGGGUGGCCGCUGCUUCUCUGGGGCUUUGCUUUUCCUGUCACCAUUGGGGAUCUCUGGGUAGCCGUCAGCUAGCUGUGAAUGUCGUCCCGCGCUCGGAGUCCAUCUCAUUGUAAUGUUGACAUCCGCUGCAAAAGCUGCUGGCGCGUGCUGCUUGGCAAAGCCCCAUUGUUGUCAUCAGCUGCUGGGUGAGUGGAGCUGAAGGCUGGGCCAGCCCAAACGGCUGUGCUAAGGACCGGAGCCACUGCUCCUCUCCCUCCUUGUCCUACUGCCUCUGACCUGGGCUUGUGGGUCAGCCUUCAGGACCCAUGGCUACCGCCUGCCCUUCCCUCCCCUCCCCCUGCCCUUUCCCGUCCUCCGCCUGACCCACUGCCUCCCUGUUUAGGUCAGUUCUACAGCAACGGAGGGCAUUCUGGGAAUGCCGGUGGCGGUGGCGGCGGGGGCGGUGGUGGCUCCUCCGGCUAUGGCUCCUACUACCAAGGUGACAACUACAACUCACCGGUGCCCCCAAAACACGCUGGGAAGAAGCAGCCGCACGGGGGCCAGCAGAAGCCCUCCUACGGCUCGGGCUACCAGUCCCACCAGGGCCAGCAGCAGUCCUACAACCAGAGCCCCUACAGCAACUAUGGCCCUCCACAGGGCAAGCAGAAAGGCUAUAACCAUGGACAAGGCAGCUACUCCUACUCGAACUCCUACAACUCUCCCGGGGGCGGGGGCGGAUCCGACUACAACUACGAGAGCAAAUUCAACUACAGUGGUAGUGGAGGCCGAAGCGGCGGGAACAGCUACGGCUCAGGCGGGGCAUCCUACAACCCAGGGUCACACGGGGGCUACGGCGGAGGUUCUGGGGGCGGCUCCUCAUACCAAGGCAAACAAGGAGGCUACUCACAGUCGAACUACAACUCCCCGGGGUCCGGCCAGAACUACAGUGGCCCUCCCAGCUCCUACCAGUCCUCACAAGGCGGCUAUGGCAGAAACGCAGACCACAGCAUGAACUACCAGUACAGAUAAGCCCCCGCGGGGCGGAGAUUUCUACCUUCUGCACUUACUCCCCAUCAGAAGAUCGAGUUUUAUGCAUCACAGUUAACAUGUCAGCUGGCCCUCCAGGCCCCCGCCCCCACCCCGUCCACGUUGCUGUGUCGUGAGGUGCAGCGGGUCACCCUGUGGCCCGUCCUGUGACCCAUAUUUAGCCGUGUUUGGGACUCCGUGUCUUCAAUGGUUUGUUAGUUGCCAUUACAACUUUGUCUGGGUAGAGUUUUUGAGUUUUUGCAGUUCAGUAUCCCUCUGUCUAUUCACACUUCGUGUUAGUGGUAACUCAGUUUGUCUUUAAAUAGUUACGGAAGGGAUACGUCAUUUGUUAAUGCUUUUGUGAAGUGAGUUACACGAGCUUUCUGUAUUUUAAUGCUUUAGUGUUUCAGUUUUAUAAGUGAAGAUUUUAUUUUAAAAACCAGUGGGAAAGAGUGGGGGGUUUCUUUUUAUGUCUGGGUCAUUCAGGCAGUACAUCUGAAUUAAGCUGAAUGUAGACAAAUAAAGAAAAACAAAACUG
Molecule: small RNA, 2580 nt
Filed under: Pan troglodytes (chimpanzee)
Lineage: Eukaryota; Metazoa; Chordata; Mammalia; Primates; Hominidae
Description: retained intron
Source: RNAcentral